This 1401-nucleotide ribosomal RNA is filed under the name uncultured bacterium. Its description in RNAcentral is "partial 16S ribosomal RNA". It matches the Rfam family "Bacterial small subunit ribosomal RNA". The record is from RNAcentral.
GAAUUCGCCCUUAGAGUUUGAUCCUGGCUCAGGACGAACGCUGGCGGCGUGCUUAAUACAUGCAAGUCGAACGAUGAAAUUCUGACGGAGACUUCGGUCAACUGAGGGAUGGAUUAGUGGCGGACGGGUGAGUAACGCGUGAGUAACCUGCCUUUCAGAGUGGAAUAACAUUUGGAAACGAAUGGUAAUACCGCAUAACGUCACGGGAUCGCAUGAUUCUGUGACCAAAGGAGCAAUCCGCUGAAAGAUGGACUCGCGUCCGAUUAGCUAGUUGGAGAGGUAACGGCUCCCCAAGGCGACGAUCGGUAGCCGGACUGAGAGGUUGAACGGCCACAUUGGGACUGAGACACGGUCCAAACUCCUACGGGAGGCAGCAGUGGGGAAUAUUGCACAAUGGGCGAAAGCCUGAUGCAGCAACGCCGCGUGAAGGAUGAAGGCCUUCGGGUCGUAAACUUCUGUCCUUGGGGAAGAAGAACUGACGGUACCCUUGGAGGAAGCCCCGGCUAACUACGUGCCAGCAGCCGCGGUAAUACGUAGGGGGCAAGCGUUAUCCGGAAUUAUUGGGCGUAAAGCGUGCGUAGGUGGUUCUUUAAGCGCAGGGUUUAAGGCAAUGGCCCAACCAUUGUUCGCCCUGCGAACUGGAGGACUUGAGUGCAGGAGAGGAAAGCGGAAUUCCUAGUGUAGCGGUGAAACGCGUAGAUAUUAGGAGGAACACCAGUGGCGAAGGCGGCUUGCUGGACGAUAACUGACGCUGAGGCGCGAAAGCGUGGGGAGCAAACAGGAUUAGAUACCCUGGUAGUCCACGCUGUAAACGAUGAAUACUAGGUGUGGGAGGACUGACCCCUUCCGUGCCGCAGUUAACACAAUAAGUAUUCCACCUGGGGAGUACGACCGCAAGGUUGAAACUCAAAGGAAUUGACGGGGGCCCGCACAAGCAGUGGAUUAUGUGGUUUAAUUCGACGCAACGCGAAGAACCUCACCAGGGUUUGACAUCCAACUAACGAAGUAGAGAUACAUUAGGUGCCCUUCGGGGAAAGUUGAGACAGGUGGUGCAUGGUUGUCGUCAGCUCGUGUCGUGAGAUGUUGGGUUAAGUCCCGCAACGAGCGCAACCCCUAUUGUUAGUUGCUACGCAAGAGCACUCUAGCGAGACUGCCGUUGACAAAACGGAGGAAGGCGGGGACGACGUCAAAUCAUCAUGCCCCUUAUAUCCUGGGCUACACACGUAAUACAAUGGUGGUUAACAGAGGGAAGCAAUACAGCGAUGUGGAGCAAAUCCCUAAAAGCCAUCUCAGUUCGGAUUGCAGGCUGCAACUCGCCUGCAUGAAGCUGGAAUUGCUAGUAAUCGCGGAUCAGCAUGCCGCGGUGAAUACGUUCCCGGGCCUUGCACUCACCGCCCGUCA